This 279-nucleotide long non-coding RNA is filed under the name Brassica napus (rape). RNAcentral describes it as "long non-coding RNA (BNAP_LNC020017)". Lineage: Eukaryota; Viridiplantae; Streptophyta; Magnoliopsida; Brassicales; Brassicaceae. The record is from RNAcentral.
AGAAGUACCUCCUAUGGAUAGUAGGUGGGGGCAGAUGCCCCAGCAUCGUCGUCGUCAGGAGGGAAGGUGGUGUAGUAACCACCAGAUGCUGAACCGGAGCCUCCAUACCAUGGUUGGCUCUCAACCUCGUCAAUCUCGUCCUCACUGUCUGAAGAAGCGAGGGAUGGGGAUUUGUUGCCGGAAGUGGAAGGUUGAGUGGGUGGGUUCCUCCACUUACGCUGAAGCUGCGCAGCAGUGAGGGGGAAGCCAAGAGCAUCAGGCGGGGGUGGAGGCUGGGGG